CGGUGAAAGCGGCGUCUGAGUCGACCCAGUAGAGCCACUCAGCUUCCGGGUGGGCUACCAUGGCAGCGCGUAGGACAGGGAUCUUUGCCCAGUAGGCGAACAUGCGGGGGUCGAGGAGGACGGUGUUGUAGAAGAGCUGGAUGUUGUGGAGGCGGCAGUAGUCGACUUUGUUCUUGAAGAAGCGGAGGAGGAGGUGAUCGCCGAUGGGGUUGCGGCAGGGGGUCGGCUGGGAGCCGGUGACCAUAAGGAUCCGGUCGGCGCCGCCUCCGGCGGCAGAGGUAGCGUACUCGGGGUGGAGGCGGAGCCAGUGGCGGCGUUUCUCGUCCCAGUUCUUGAUGGGUCGGUCAAUGGUGUAGGAGAGGGAUGGGUCGUCGUAGAACGUGGUGAUGGAGGGGUCGGCGGGGGAGGGGUCGGCGGGG
Molecule: unclassified non-coding RNA, 419 nt
Filed under: Hevea brasiliensis (rubber tree)
Lineage: Eukaryota; Viridiplantae; Streptophyta; Magnoliopsida; Malpighiales; Euphorbiaceae
Source: RNAcentral